This 497-nucleotide ribosomal RNA is filed under the name uncultured bacterium. RNAcentral describes it as "partial 16S ribosomal RNA". It matches the Rfam family "Bacterial small subunit ribosomal RNA", at positions 28 to 507 of the family's 1533-position model. The record is from RNAcentral.
GAUGAACGCUGGCGGCGUGCCUAAUACAUGCAAGUCGAGCGAACGGACGAGAAGCUUGCUUCUCUGAUGUUAGCGGCGGACGGGUGAGUAACACGUGGAUAACCUACCUAUAAGACUGGGAUAACUUCGGGAAACCGUAGCUAAUACCGGAUAAUAUUUUGAACGGCAUGGUUCAAAAGUGAAAGACGGUCUUCCUGUCACUUAUAGAUGGAUCCGCGCUGCAUUAGCUAGUUGGUAAGGUAACGGCUUACCAAGGCAACGAUGCAUAGCCGACCUGAGAGGGUGAUCGGCCACACUGGAACUGAGACACGGUCCAGACUCCUACGGGAGGCAGCAGUAGGGAAUCUUCCGCAAUGGGCGAAAGCCUGACGGAGCAACGCCGCGUGAGUGAUGAAGGUCUUCGGAUCGUAAAACUCUGUCAUUAGGGAAGAACAUAUGUGUAAGUAACUGUGCACAUCUUGACGGUACCUAAUCAGAAAGCCACGGCUAACUACGUG